AUGACUGUGGCAGGAGGGGGGUGCACAGCUGGUCUUGGGCUGCAGCUCAGGGUCAGGAGGGGGUGCUCAGGAAACUUGGGCUAGAGCUCUGGGCAGGUGCCCAGCGCAGGGAGAAUAGGAAAGAAACAUUGUUAGGGGGUUCAGAUGGUAGUUGAUCAAGCAGAGCAGGAGAGAGAGGUGCCUGCGUGUGAUGAGGAAAACUCUCGCAGAAUAAGGCUAUGGAACUUGGUUUGGUGUCAAUAGCACAAACUGAGAGGUGUAUUAACGUAAAAAAAUAAAAAAUAACGAGCUGUGCAUUUCCUGGUGGUGCAAGGGUGUUGCUAGGUGAUUGAUAAGUCAUUGCCAUAGUGUUGCUAGGUGGUAGAUAGGGCAUUGCUAGGUGGUUGCUAGAUGGUUGCUAAGCUGUUUCUAGGGUUGCUAGGUGGUUGAUAGGGCGUUGCUAUGGUGUAUCUAGGUGGUUGCUAUGGUGUUGCUAGUGGUUGAUCAGGUGUUAUUAUGUGGUUGCUAGAGUGUUGCUAUGGUAUUGCUUGGUGGUUGAUAGGGCAUUGCUAGGUGGGUGAUGGCUUUGCUAGGGUGUAUCUAGGUGGUUGCUAUGGUGUUGCUAGUGGUUGCCAGAGUGUUGCUAGGUGGUUGAUAGUGCAUUACUAGGGUAUAUCUAGGUGGUUGCUAAGGUGUUGCUAGUGGUUGAUCAGGUGUUGCUAUGUGGUUGCUAGAGUGUUGCUAUGGUGUUGCUUGGUGGUUGAUAGGGCGUUGCUAGGGUGCAUCUUGGUGGAUGCUGUGGUGUUGCUCGGCGGUUGCUAAGUGAUGCCAGUUUAAGGUGUUGGUCGAUUGUUGCGAAGGUGUUGCUAGGUGGUCGAUGUUAACUGGUUGCUAGGGUGUUAUUAGGUUGUUGCAAUAGUCUUGCAAGGUGUGUUAGGUGGUUUCUAGGGUGGUGCUAGGUGGCUGCUAAUGUGUUAGGCUGUUGCUACAUGGUUGCUAUGGUGUUGCUAGGGCGUCACUAUGGUGUUGCUAGGUGGUUGCUAAGGUGUUGCUAGGGUGUUGCAAGGUGGAUGCAAAGUUGUUGCUUGUUCAUUGGUAAGGUGUUACGAGGUGUUUGUUAUGCUGUUGCUAGGUGGUUGCUAUGGUCUUGCAAGGUAGUUGCUAAGAUGUAUUAGGUUGUUGCUUGGGUGUUGCUUGGUGGUUGCUAAGGUGAUGUCCAGUGGUUGAAAUGUGUUUGCUAAGGUGGUUACUAGGGUGUUGUUCGGUGCUUGCUCAGUGGUUGCUAACAUGAUGUCCAGUGGUUGAAAUGUGGUUGCUAAGGUAGUUUGCUUGGGUGUUGUUUGGUGGUUGCUAAGAUGUUGCUUGGUGGUUGCUGAGGUGUUGCUAGGUGGUUGCUAACGUGAUGUCCAGUGGUUGAAAUGUUUGCUAAGGUGGUUACUAGGGUGUUGUUCGGUUUGUGCAUGGCCAUCGUGCUGCUGUGAUCUGUCGUUUCAUCUUUGCACACUGUGCAAAGCACUAUAUUAUUGGGUUUUUGCUUAAAGAAUUCCCACUUUGGAUGCUCAUGUUUUUUGGAUGAACUCUCUCCCACACUCUCAGCUGGGUUUGCCGCCGCCAUGUUCAAAACGAUACGAAGCGUCUGUUAUAUAUCCAAAUCAACGAAAUUACAUGGUCGAUAUCAUUGACAACGUCGACUAAUCGUUGCAGCCCUAGUGGUUGCUAGGCAUUUAUAAUAGCCAAUCAGAGAGGUGAUGUGUUACAGCAUAAUGCAAGGCAAUUAGUUUCAUGAAACUAUAUCCACCAUAUAAGCAUGAUUGUUUAACCAAAGUCUAUGAAGCCUAUAUAAGUUCAUAUAAGUUCCUAGGUUGUAUCUUAGUCAGUUGCCAGGUAUUCAUAAGAGCCAGCAUGAGGUGUUAUUGCAUAAUGCAAGACAUUUGGUGUAAUUAAAGUAUAUGAAGCAUAUGAGCAUAUAUGUUUAAUAAAAAUCUGUAUAGCCUAUAUACGACUCUGAGUCUAUAUAGACUGCUAGGGUGUUACUAAUCAAUUGCUAGGCAUUUAUUCCAGCCAAUCAGAGAGGUGAGAUGUUACAGCUUUGGUCUCAUGGCACACCAUGUAUGCAGUCAGUUAUGAGCUCUCUGCUAGAGGGCAGAUGCUAUUGCGACAUCAGAGGGUUCCAUCAGACACACGGCUAACUUGCAUAUCAAAUGUGGGUUGGCUGAACUGCAGAAUGUCCAUUCGAAAGAGACUGGAGUGUGAAGAAACCAUUUAGAGUUCAGGUUUGCAUUCGAUCACAUCCAGAUUCAUUGUAAGACAUUUAAACCAGGGUUGCCCAAAUCUUUUGCACCACACUGUACAAAGAUUUGGGUCAAGGGCCUUGUUUUGUUGUACAUAUUGGAUUCAAACUCGGAAGCAUUUAUAUUUCAGAUAAUUUGUUGACUUGCUCAUUUACAUGGUUUACAAGGUAAAUUUAAGCGAUGUCAUCUUUCUUUUAUCUUCCCCUCUCAGCUCUGUAUAUUAAAGGCAAUGAUGUCACAAAGCUGGCUUCCAUGGCCAAGCUGAAAGCAGGACGCCUGGUUCGAGAAGUAGGGGACAGCUGCCUGCAAUACUGGGGAGGGAUGGGCUUCACAAGUGAAGUUCUGGUCAGUCGGUUUUACAGGGACUCCAGGCUGAUGUCAAUUGGUGCUGGAGCUGAUGAAGUCAUGCUGUCCAUUAUAUGCAAGUACAUGGACACCUUACCCAGGAAAUGAUGUCAUAUUACAUUUACAUAUUAACUACUCAGAACUAUCACAAUAAGUGCACUUCUUUAUCCUUGAUCAUUUACUCAUUUUGUUCAAAGCUGACAUGUAAAAAGAUAUUUGAAAUGUUUAAUUGUUUUGGAUUUUGCAAUCUUGUUGAUGCAGUCUUCCAGAAUAAAUGGGGAAAAAAUGGCUCAAAAUUCAUUCAUUACACAUCCACACUGUAUUAUGAUCAGAGCACCAAUUCCUUUAAUAUUAAUGGCUAAAUUUGAAUAGCUCUGUAGUCUACAGGACAUUAAUCAGUUAAACACCCCUGCUGAAUGGCAAAAUACCAGUCUAAGAGGGACUUUGUGUUAGUGUUAAUCCCAAAAUGCAGGUGUUGCAAAAGUUUCUUCCCAAUAUGCAAACAAAAAUAGUUUCUUACAUGUAGAAAGAUAUUUAAUGUAUAUUUUGUAAUCCAGUUGAUGUAUAGGAAAUGCAAUGCCUUUAAGAAUAAAUGCAAAAAACAGUAGUUUUUUUAUUAAUGUUUUUAAUAUUGAAUCUGAAAAUAAAAUGGUUAAUAUUCUUGA
Long non-coding RNA from Conger conger (European conger), 3280 nucleotides. RefSeq lists it as uncharacterized. The transcript has 2 exons. NCBI's taxonomy places the organism in Eukaryota, Metazoa, Chordata, Actinopteri, Anguilliformes, Congridae. The record is from RefSeq and is a predicted model, not a curated record.